Molecule: ribosomal RNA, 253 nt
Filed under: uncultured bacterium
Lineage: Bacteria
Description: partial 16S ribosomal RNA
Rfam family: Bacterial small subunit ribosomal RNA
Source: RNAcentral
UACAGAGGUCUUAAGCGUUGUUCGGAUUCAUUGGGCGUAAAGGGUGCGUAGGUGGCGCCGUAAGUCGGGUGUGAAAUUUCGGAGCUUAACUCCGAAACUGCAUUCGAUACUGCGGUGCUUGAGGACUGGAGAGGAGACUGGAAUUCAUGGUGUAGCAGUGAAAUGCGUAGAGAUCAUGAGGAAGACCAGUGGCGAAGGCGGGUCUCUGGACAGUUCCUGACGCUGAGGCACGAAGGCCAGGGGAGCAAACGGG